ACGAACGCUGGCGGCUGCUUAACACAUGCAAGUCGAACGGAGUGGCGAACGGGUGAGUAACGCGUGAGCAACCUGCCUAUGACAGUGGGAUAACCUCGGGAAACCGGGAUUAAUACCGCAUAGUCAUAGAUGGGCUCGCUUCUGAUUCUCUAGUUGGUGUGAUAACAGCCCACCAAGGCGACGAUCCGUAGCCUGUCUCAGAGGAUGAACGGCCACAUUGGAACUGAGACACGGUCCGAACUCCUACGGGAUGCAGCAGUGGGGAAUAUUGCACAAUGGGGGAAACCCUGAUGCAGCGACGCCGCGUGAACGAAGAAGGUAUUCGUAUCGUAAAGUUCUGUCCUAUGGGAAGCAGUACCAUAGAAGAAAGCUCCGGCUAAAUACGUGCCAGCAGCCGCGGUAAUUC
RNAcentral lists this ribosomal RNA (406 nucleotides) under uncultured bacterium. RNAcentral describes it as "partial 16S ribosomal RNA". It matches the Rfam family "Bacterial small subunit ribosomal RNA", at positions 29 to 526 of the family's 1533-position model. The record is from RNAcentral.